UGGGGAAUAUUGCACAAUGGAGGGAACUCUGAUGCAGCGACGCCGCGUGAACGAAAAAGGCUUUCGAGUCGUAAAGUUCUUUUAUAUGGGAAGAUAAUGACGGUACCAUAAGAAAAAGCCCCGGCUAACUACGUGCCAGCAGCCGCGGUAAUACGUAGGGGGCUAGCGUUGUCCGGAAUCACUGGGCGUAAAGGGUUCGCAGGCGGAAAUGCAAGUCAGGUGUAAAAGGCAGUAGCUUAACUACUGUAAGCAUUUGAAACUGCAUAUCUUGAGAAGAGUAGAGGUAAGUGGAAUUUUUAGUGUAGCGGUGAAAUGCGUAGAUAUUAAAAAGAAUACCGGUGGCGAAGGCGACUUACUGGGCUCAUUCUGACGCUGAGGAACGAAAGCGUGGGUAGCAAACAGG
RNAcentral lists this ribosomal RNA (403 nucleotides) under Fusobacteriota bacterium. Its description in RNAcentral is "Fusobacteria bacterium partial 16S ribosomal RNA". It matches the Rfam family "Bacterial small subunit ribosomal RNA", at positions 355 to 776 of the family's 1533-position model. Lineage: Bacteria; Fusobacteriati; Fusobacteriota. The record is from RNAcentral.